Molecule: long non-coding RNA, 1317 nt
Organism: Erinaceus europaeus (western European hedgehog)
Lineage: Eukaryota; Metazoa; Chordata; Mammalia; Eulipotyphla; Erinaceidae
Exons: 2
Source: RefSeq, a predicted model, not a curated record
CUCUACAAACAGAUGAAAUCCAUUAGUAUAGUUGUUUUAAAUUGUUUUUUUUUUUUAAUUAGGUUUUCAAGUAGCCCAAUAACUUAAAAGUAGGUAUGCCAAAAGAAACAUAUGCUUAUUCCUGUAGUUCUCAUUGUCAAAAUAGCAGCAGAAAAACUGUAGCAGAAAAACGCUUUUAGGUCAGAGGUUCACCAGGUAGGGUGUUUGCACUACUAUGAGCAACACCCAAGUUUGGGCCCCAGCAAUAUGGCAAGGGAGGAAUCUUUGGUGCUGUGGUGUCUCACUCCCUCCAUCUCUAUCUGAAUGAAAAAGUGGUUUGAAGUAGUGAGACUAUUCACAAGGCUUAAAAAAAAAAAAAAAAAGCUUUAUUUUACUCAUCCUGAAAAACUACCUUACUAGCAGCAGAUUUGUGUCAUUUAACCUAUUGAGAAUGUUUCAACUGGGGCAGGAGGUGGUGCACAUAGUACUAAGCACAAGGCCCCAUGCAAAGAUCUGGGCUCCAGCCCCCGGCUCCCCACCUGCAGGAGGGACAUUUUACAAGCAGCGAAUGAAGUAAGGAAAUAAGACAGAUCAAGAAAGACAAAUACCAUAUGCACUUAUUAUAUGUGAAAUAUAAAAAAACAAAAAUCAACCUUAUACAAGGUUUCUGAGUCAGGCUGGUAGAUGUCAGGGGCAGUAAGCUGUGACAGGGAUGAAGGGAUCAAAAGGUUCAGACGUCCAGGUGCAACACAAGCCGUGGAGAUGCGGUGCACAGCACAGCGACCACAGUUAACAGCAUGUCACAUGUUCCAAAGUUACUAAAAGAAUUGAGUCUUAAAAAUCCUCAUCACAAGAAAAAGAAAUGUGCUUGUAAGUUAUUAACCAGACCUAUCAUGGUAAUGAUUUUGCAAUAUACACAAAUAUCAAAUCAUUAUGUUAUAUAUCUGAGUCAAAAGUGUUGAUUGUGCCUCAAUAAAAACUUUCUUUUCUAUUUCUCUAAAUCCCCCCCCUUUCCCACAUUUUCAAGUGGCAAAUGGCUAGAUUGUUUGGAAUUCCACUCAAAGUGUCAAGUCCUGAGUUCAACCUCCAGCACCACAUGGCUGAGUGAUUCCCUGAUCAUCUUUCAUGUUAACAAAUAAAUUAAUUUUUUAAGUAAGCAAAUAUAAAUAAUAACUAAGACUCAGUGAGUAAGAAGAUAAAAUGACAGCAUAGUCAUAAUGGGCAUUGGGCAGGACAUAAGGUCUCAAUACUGGAGGGCACUGGCAACACUAGAGGAACACCAUGGAGAGCAGAGCAGCACCGUGUGCUCCCCACCCCUGCUUCUCUCUAAAAAGAAAA